AUCUUCUUUCUUCAAGAAACAGCCCCUUCACAUCCUCCAAACUCAGCCCCAAAACACCCAAGCCAAACCCCAAGAUUUGUAGGCCGAAAAUCCACCGAGCCUUUGGUUUUCUUACUCCUUCAUCUUCGAUUUCUUGCUCUUGGGUUCUCCAAGCUUUUUAGGAGGCCGGCGGAGUGGAGUUCGAGGAAUCGCUAGCCUUGAUGCCUUGACUGUUUAACCCGGAUUUUUAUCACGUCAACGAUUUCUAAAAUAUCUAGCCAAGAUAUCGAUUUUUAAUUUUGUAUUCUGAUUUGGGAACCCAGUCUAUUAAACGGGGGUAUCUUAAAUAAAGUUUAUUUCCUUCCGCUGUCUUACGAGUGUUUUCUAAACCCCG
Long non-coding RNA from Erythranthe guttata (spotted monkey flower), 373 nucleotides. RefSeq lists it as uncharacterized. The record is from RefSeq and is a predicted model, not a curated record. NCBI's taxonomy places the organism in Eukaryota, Viridiplantae, Streptophyta, Magnoliopsida, Lamiales, Phrymaceae.